Long non-coding RNA from Lingula anatina, 1088 nucleotides. NCBI's taxonomy places the organism in Eukaryota, Metazoa, Brachiopoda, Lingulata, Lingulida, Lingulidae. The record is from RefSeq and is a predicted model, not a curated record.
UUCUUUCCAUUUAUUCAUAUAUUCGGAUCAACAUAUUCAUUAAACCAUGGGAAAUUAAAGGCUACUAACUGUUUUAAUAGUCGUGCUGUAAUAAAGAAUGACACAUGUUUUUGCUGCUAUCUAUUUCUUUCUGUUCGUUGUACUCUUUAACUUCUUUAUCUGCACGCUCUGGCUCACUGUCAGGUAAGUUGCGUAUUAUUUGACUAUAAAAUCAUUCCAUUAAAUUAAAAAAUAAUAUUAAUCAAUGUUCAUUACUAUAUACACCUCUUUAUCAAAUAAAAUUGGUCCUCGAAUUUAACAUAACGAUAUACAUCUUUUCCACUGUAACCUUGACAUGUAUAAAACACAGAGAGUUAUGCACAUAAUAGAAACUAAUGGAGAAAGAAAUUAACAAUAUAAAGCAAUUAUUUCUCAAAACUCAUCAAGGGAUUUAAAAUAAGGACGACUUUGUCAUUAACCUUCGUAGCAAUUACUUAAACUAUGAGCAUGCUAAUAAGCAUAGGCUUCAUUAGAUAACAUUUAUAAGAAAAAAUAGUGUAUAUUCAAUUUUAGCAAUAAUAAUAAUAAUAAUGUUCAAACUUCAAAGCAACAACAGUUCAUAUAUAAUCCGUUCAUCUCAGUCCAAUACAAAAACAUUCAUUUGGAUUCAAUUUUCUGACACUUUCUAUUUUUCAAAAGGAGUAAGUAAUUCAUAUACUGUCGUACAAACAUCAUGAAUAAUAUUUCUCUUUAACUUUAUUAAACUAUUAAAAACUUAUGCCUUAUUAGCAAUUCUCGCAUGAGUAUCAAGUUACUAUUUUUUGCCAUAGAAUCCAAGGUUUAUUCUGUGAAAGUAUGAAAAAAUACUAAAUAUUGAACAAAAUUUCAGUUUGUUAAAUGAUAACAAAAUUAUAAUAAUUGUGAUCAUAAUUUUCCUUUUUACAGAAAUGCUCUCAAAAUUAACGUUAAAACGCACACCGUGUGGUUUACUUAACAAAAUUAGCCUUUACUGGUUCUUGCCAACCAAACAAUAAGCUUUUAAGCUGUACCUUCAACAUUCAUAAAAUCAUAACCUGAAGUCCCUUGAAUAUACCAUAAAUAAAAAAAAA